Molecule: ribosomal RNA, 630 nt
Filed under: Pectobacterium carotovorum subsp. carotovorum
Lineage: Bacteria; Pseudomonadati; Pseudomonadota; Gammaproteobacteria; Enterobacterales; Pectobacteriaceae
Description: bacterial SSU rRNA
Rfam family: Bacterial small subunit ribosomal RNA
Source: RNAcentral
AAGAAGGCUUCGGGUGUAAGCACUUCAUCGGGAGGAAGGCGGGAGAUUAUCUCUCAUCGAAUGCGUUCCGCAGAAGAAGCGGCGGCUAACUCGUGUCAGCAGCGCGGUAAUACGGAGGGUGCAAGCGGUAAUCGGAAUGACUGGGCGUAAAGCGCACGCAGGCGGGUUUUUAAGUCAGAUGUGAAAUCCCGAGCUUAACUUGGGAACUGCAUUGAAACUGGCAAGCUAGAGUCUUGUAGAGGGGGGUAGAAUUUCAGGUGUAGCGGUGACACGCGUAGAGAUCUGGAGGAAUAGCGGUGGCGAAGGCGGCCCCCUGGACAAAAACAGACGCUCAGGUGCGAAAGCGUGGGGAGCAAACAGGAUUAGAUACCCUGGUAGUCCACGCUGUAAACGAUGUCGAUUUGGAGGUUGUGCCCUUGAGGCGUGGCUUCCGGAGCUAACGCGUUAAAUCGACCGCCUGGGGAGUACGGCCGCAAGGUUAAAACUCAAAUGAAUUGACGGGGGCCCGCACAAGCGGUGGAGCAUGUGGUUUAAUUCGAUGCAACGCGAAGAACCUUACCUACUCUUGACAUCCACAGAAUUCGGCAGAGAUACCGUAGUGCCUUCGGGAACUGUGUGCCAGGUCGAUCA